AUCGAACGCUGGCGGCAUGCCUUACACAUGCAAGUCGAACGGUAACAGGUCUUCGGAUGCUGACGAGUGGCGAACGGGUGAGUAAUACAUCGGAACGUGCCUAGUAGUGGGGGAUAACUACUCGAAAGAGUGGCUAAUACCGCAUGAGAUCUACGGAUGAAAGCAGGGGAUCGCAAGACCUUGUGCUACUAGAGCGGCCGGUGGCAGAUUAGGUAGUUGGUGGGAUAAAAGCUUACCAAGCCGACGAUCUGUAGCUGGGCUGAGAGGACGAUCGACCACACUGGGACUGAGACACGGCCCAGACUACUACGGGAGGCAGCAGUGGGGAAUUUUGGACAAUGGGCGCAAGCCUGAUCCAGCAAUGCCGCGUGCAGGAUGAAGGCCUUUGGGUUGUAAACUGCUUUUGUACGGAACGAAAAGCCCCGGGUUAAUACCCUGGGGUCAUGACGGUACCGUAAGAAUAAGCACCGGCUAACUACGUGCCAGCAGCCGCGGUAA
Molecule: ribosomal RNA, 498 nt
Filed under: uncultured bacterium
Lineage: Bacteria
Description: partial 16S ribosomal RNA
Rfam family: Bacterial small subunit ribosomal RNA
Source: RNAcentral